RNAcentral lists this ribosomal RNA (1004 nucleotides) under Staphylococcus aureus. RNAcentral's name for it is "partial 23S ribosomal RNA". It matches the Rfam family "Bacterial large subunit ribosomal RNA", at positions 552 to 1559 of the family's 2925-position model. Lineage: Bacteria; Bacillati; Bacillota; Bacilli; Caryophanales; Staphylococcaceae. The record is from RNAcentral.
GAAACCGUGUGCUUACAAGUAGUCAGAGCCCGUUAAUGGGUGAUGGCGUGCCUUUUGUAGAAUGAACCGGCGAGUUACGAUUUGAUGCAAGGUUAAGCAGUAAAUGUGGAGCCGUAGCGAAAGCGAGUCUGAAUAGGGCGUUUAGUAUUUGGUCGUAGACCCGAAACCAGGUGAUCUACCCUUGGUCAGGUUGAAGUUCAGGUAACACUGAAUGGAGGACCGAACCGACUUACGUUGAAAAGUGAGCGGAUGAACUGAGGGUAGCGGAGAAAUUCCAAUCGAACCUGGAGAUAGCUGGUUCUCUCCGAAAUAGCUUUAGGGCUAGCCUCAAGUGAUGAUUAUUGGAGGUAGAGCACUGUUUGGACGAGGGGCCCCUCUCGGGUUACCGAAUUCAGACAAACUCCGAAUGCCAAUUAAUUUAACUUGGGAGUCAGAACAUGGGUGAUAAGGUCCGUGUUCGAAAGGGAAACAGCCCAGACCACCAGCUAAGGUCCCAAAAUAUAUGUUAAGUGGAAAAGGAUGUGGCGUUGCCCAGACAACUAGGAUGUUGGCUUAGAAGCAGCCAUCAUUUAAAGAGUGCGUAAUAGCUCACUAGUCGAGUGACACUGCGCCGAAAAUGUACCGGGGCUAAACAUAUUACCGAAGCUGUGGAUUGUCCUUUGGACAAUGGUAGGAGAGCGUUCUAAGGGCGUUGAAGCAUGAUCGUAAGGACAUGUGGAGCGCUUAGAAGUGAGAAUGCCGGUGUGAGUAGCGAAAGACGGGUGAGAAUCCCGUCCACCGAUUGACUAAGGUUUCCAGAGGAAGGCUCGUCCGCUCUGGGUUAGUCGGGUCCUAAGCUGAGGCCGACAGGCGUAGGCGAUGGAUAACAGGUUGAUAUUCCUGUACCACCUAUAAUCGUUUUAAUCGAUGGGGGGACGCAGUAGGAUAGGCGAAGCGUGCGAUUGGAUUGCACGUCUAAGCAGUAAGGCUGAGUAUUAGGCAAAUCCGGUACUCGUUAAGGCUGA